CUGACACUGAAGGGCAGGACUUUGACUAAAUUGGGUUGGUUUUGGAACAAUCUUCAGCCAUGAUCCAAUGCAUGAAGACAUUACCCAUUUUUGUUGCCUAUUUAUCUGUGUGCUCUGCAGAGGGGGACACUGUUACUCAACCUAAAGAUGAGACGGGUCUGGAGGGCAGCACAGUAACACUCAGCUGUCAGUAUGAGACCACAGCAGCAGCAGGUAAUCAGUAUCUCUUCUGGUACCAGCAGAAGCCAAAUGGAUUCCCCAGAUAUAUGCUACACAAAACUAAAUAUGGAGAUAGCUCUGAUGACCACUUUAUGGGAAGAUUCAAUGCUACACUCAACACUGAUGAAAAAACUGUUCCUCUGAAGAUUCAGGAUCUGCAAGUGUCUGACUCUGCUGUGUACUACUGUGCUCUGAGGCCCACAUCUCUGACAGACUGA
Non-coding RNA from Sardina pilchardus (European sardine), 437 nucleotides. The record is from the annotation of a RefSeq genome assembly. NCBI's taxonomy places the organism in Eukaryota, Metazoa, Chordata, Actinopteri, Clupeiformes, Clupeidae.